RNAcentral lists this ribosomal RNA (253 nucleotides) under uncultured bacterium. Its description in RNAcentral is "partial 16S ribosomal RNA". It matches the Rfam family "Bacterial small subunit ribosomal RNA", at positions 524 to 776 of the family's 1533-position model. The record is from RNAcentral.
UACGGGGGGGGCAAGCGUUGUUCGGAAUUACUGGGCGUAAAGGGUUUGUAGGUGGCUUGCUCAGUCAGACGUGAAAUCCCUCAGCUUAACUGGGGAACUGCGUCUGAUACUAGCGAGCUUGAGUGCAGGAGAGGAACGCGGAAUUCCUGGUGUAGCGGUGAAAUGCGUAGAUAUCUGGAGGAACACCGGUGGCGAAGGCGGCAUCCUGGACCAAUUCUGACACUGAGGAGCGAAAGCCAGGGGAGCAAACGGG